GUUUGUGUGUGUGUAUAUAUAUAUAUAUAGGAGGUCUUGUGUGCUAUUAGGAGCAUGGAGGUCUCCGUGCUUCUAAGUUGUUUUCGAUGAUGGAGCUUCCGAAUCAACGAUCGGCUCCGUUAGACUUCAUCUAGUGUAUUUGAAGUAUCUAGAAAAUAAAUUUUGUAAUUUUUCGAUAUCAUUUACUUAACGAUCGAAAGAGUUCAAAAUCAACGGCCGAAAAUAAAAAUAUCACAAAAAGUGAUGAUAUAGCACUAAAAUUUUUGAUCAGAGAUAUUGAUCUUGCAGUGAAUAGUACAAAAAAUUUUUUAUCAAAAUUUUAUUUGGUUUGAAUACUUCUAUACCGUUAAACUUGCAAACAAUAUAUAUCAACCAUUAAAAAUUGUUGAUUUUGAACCAUUUCGAUCGCUAGGUAAAUGAUAUCCAAAAAGAGUAAAAUUUAUUUUUAGAUACUUCAAAUAUGCUAGAUUAAGUCUAACAGAGUCGAUCGUCGAUUCGGAAGCUCCAUCAUAAAAAACGGCUUUGGAGUACGGAGGCCUCAGUACUCCUAAUAGUACAAAAGACCUACUCUCUCUCUCUCUCUCUAUAUAUAUAUAUAGAGAGAGAGAGAGAGAAAGAGAGAGAUAGAGAGAGAGAGUUAUGCUACUAUACUAUCAAUAGUAUCAAGCCCUUGGUACUAUUGAGUUUUCGACUGUUGGAUGAAAAAAUGUGUGGCUAGGAUGAUAGUGGCCCCCGGUUAAAUUGAUAGUGGUCUCUUAGGGUUCAGUGGGUGGUUGGUUAAUAGUAUAAUCUAACGGGUGGAAAUGAUCAAAGAGUAGAUCUAAUGGUAGAAAACUCAAUAGUACAAAGAACUUGGUACUAUCGAUAGUAUAGUAGCCGGACUCUCUCUUUCUCUCUCUCUCUCUCUCUCUCUCUCUCUCUCUCUAUAUAUAUAUAUAUAUAUAUAUAUAUAUAUAUAUAUAUAUAUAUAUAUAUAUAGAGCAGGACUGUUGUGCUCUCGGGAGCACGGAGGCCUCCGUGCUCCUGAGCCGUUUUCGAUGAUGAAAUUUCCGAAUCGACGAUCGGCUCCGUUAGACUUGAUCGAGCGUAUUUGAAGUUUCUAGAAAAUAAUUUUUGCGAUUUUUCGAUAUCAUUUACCUAGCAAUCGAAAGGAUUCAAAAUCAAUAAUUUUUAAUGGCUAAAAAUAAAAAUUCUAUAAAAAGUGGUGAUAUAGCACUAAAAUUUUCGAUCAGAAAUAUUGAACUUGUUGUAGAUAGUAUAAAUAAUUUUGUAUCAAAAUUUCAUCUGAUUUGAAUAUUUCUACACCGUUAAACUUGAAAACGGCAGAUAUCAACCAUUAAAAAUUAUUGAUUUUGACUCCUUUUGAUCACUAGGUAAAUGAUAUCAAAAAAUCGCAAAAAUUAUUUUCUAAAAACUUCAAAUACCCUAGAUCAAGUCUAAUAGAGCCGAUCGUCGAUUCGAAAAUUCCAUCAUUGAAAACGGCUCAGGAGCACGGAGGCCUCCGAGCUCCUGAGCACGGAGGCCUCCGUGCUCCUGAGAGCACAUCAGCCCUGCUAUACACACACACACACACAUAUAUAUAUAUAUAUAUAUAUAUAUAUAUAUAUAUAUAAUUGAGCUCCUAUGCUUUUAAAAGUACCAAGUCAUUAGUGCUUGUAAGUUUUUAGCCCUUGGAUUAAGGAAUGUGCGGUUAAGAUAAUAUGGGCCUCCUAGGGUUAAGUGGGUGGUUGGUUGAAUAGUAUAAUCUAACGGGUGAAAAUGAUCAAAGGCCUACAUCUAACGGUAAAAAAAUUAUAAGCACCAAAUACUUGGUACUUUUACAAGCACCAUAGCCGGACUCUCUCUCUCUCUCUCUCUCUCUCUCUAUAUAUAUAUAUAUAUAUAUAUAUAAUUGAGCUCCUAUGCUUUUAAAAGUACCAAGUUAUUGGUGCUUGUAGAUUUUUAGCCAUUGGAUUAAGAGAUAUGCGGUUAGGAUGAUGUGGGCCUCUUAGGGUUGAGUGUGUGGUUGGUUGAAUAGUGUAAUCUAAUGGUUGAAAAUGAUCCGAUGAAUAGAUCUAACGGUAAAAAACUUACAAGCAUCAAGUGCUUGGUGCUUUUACAAGCACCAUAGCUAGACUCUCUCUCUCUAUCUCUCUCUCUCUCUAUAUAUAUAUACAGAGCAGGGCUGCUGUGCUCCUGUGCUCCUGAGCCGUUUUCGAUGAUGGAAUUUUCGAAUCGACGAUCGGCUCCGUUAGACUUGAUCUAGGGUAUUUGAAGUGUCUAGAAAAUAAUUUUUGCAAUUUUUUGAUAUCAUUUACCUAGUGAUCGAAAGGAUUUAAAAUCCAUAAUUUUUAAUGGUUGAUAUCUGCCAUUUUCAAGUUUAAUGGUAUAGAAGUAUUCAAAUCAGAUGAUAUUUUGAUACAAAAUUCUUUAUACUAUCUACAACAAAAUCAAUAUUUCCGAUCGAAAAAUUUAGUGCUAUAUCACCACUUUUUAUAGGAUUUUUAUUUUCAGCCGUUAAAAAUUAUUGAUUUUUUAUCCUUUCGAUUGCUAGGUAAAUGAUAUCGAAAAAUCGUAAAAAUUAUUUUCUAGAAAAUUCAAAUACGCUAGAUCAAGUCUAACGGAGCCGAUCGUCGAUUCGGAAAUUCCAUCAUCGAAAACGGCUCAGGAGAACGAAGGCCUCCGUGCUCCUGAGAGCAC
This 2679-nucleotide long non-coding RNA is filed under the name Ananas comosus (pineapple). RNAcentral's name for it is "long non-coding RNA (ACOM_LNC033056)". The record is from RNAcentral. Lineage: Eukaryota; Viridiplantae; Streptophyta; Magnoliopsida; Poales; Bromeliaceae.